This 1485-nucleotide unclassified non-coding RNA is filed under the name Hevea brasiliensis (rubber tree). The record is from RNAcentral. Lineage: Eukaryota; Viridiplantae; Streptophyta; Magnoliopsida; Malpighiales; Euphorbiaceae.
CCUUACAUUUCUCUCGAUUCUCUGGUACCGAAUUUUUUUCCCUUUCUUUUUAGGGUUUCAUAAUGGUUUAUUUGAUUUUUAAGUUCAAUAGAAAAAUGAUGCCAAUCAUCUAGUACGUAAAGAGUAUUAUUUCUAUAUGACGUUCAUUUUGGUUUGUUUAUAUGUAGUAGUGUCAGUUUGCUGGACUUGUGAAUUGAGUGCAUAGAUUCUUGUUUAAUUUCCUUAAUCCUUUUUGUGCCUUACGGUUGUUCGCAUGGUCCAAUUGUUUAAAAUUGGUGAUCUUGUAUUGUUGUUUUGAUGGAAGUUGUUUUGAUAAGGUAAUGUGCCCCCUUGGAUACUCCUUGCCUUAGCUAGCUUUUUUAGUGUGAGUUAGACCGGCCUAUUUUCAUAAUAUGGUAUCAAAGCCUCCAACCGAUUCUCAUGUAUUUGAUCUGGGUAUUUGUUUGGGAUAGGGUAAUUUGUAUAAGGUCUUGGACACUCCUCGAGCGAGGUGAAUUAUAUCUUACCCAUUUUCUUAAAAAAGAAUUCUAGUGUUAUAAUGUAUAUCCUUUUUCUUUUUCCGAAUUUGGUGAUAUUGUAAUGAAGGCUCUUUUUAUACCAUGAUUGCACAAUAUCGAUAUUGUAUUAUAUGUUUAGUUAUGUUGUAUAGCUUUGAAGUUUUUAUGAGCAGAGAUUGUAGAUAGGCAAACUUAUGAUUUUUUUUUAUUAUACUUUUAGAUACUACCAUUCUCUUUUUUCCUCUUCCUCUACAUGAUUUGAAAGCAUUUAUGGUACUUUUCUGAUUAAAAUGAAGUGAUAUAAUAAUUGUAGGGGUGGCAUAGGGAAGGGAGAAAGACUACUCUCUUUAUACAGCUUAGCUUCAUUGACCUUCCAAACUACCAAAAACAAUGAAGCGUUACUCCCCUCGGCCCGUUUCAAGUGAUGUUUUAGAAAUUUUUUUUUUGUCCCACUUUAUUUGCCAUUUUAGAAAAUUAAUAAAGUAUUAAUUUUUCUUUCUAACUUUACCCUUAUCUAUUAUUUUUCUUAGUGCAUUUAUUUCUUUUGAUCACUUUUCUACAUUCCGACGUAUUUCAAGAAUAAUUUAGUCAAUUAUUAGUACUUUUUUUGUAAAAUGAGGCUAUCAAAUUAUUUUCUUAAUCCUUAUGCAAAAACCUUAGAAAGCACUUGAAAUGGUAUGGAGGGGAAAGCACUUGAAAUGUUAUGGAGGGAAUAUCACAUUUCAUAUUAAAUGGAGGUUUGUAUUUUAGGUUUGAAUUUUUGCAUGUGAGUUUAAACAUCAUAAGGGAACCCAGGAGGAAAAGAAAUUUAAGGAAGAAAUGGACAAAAAAUAUUUAAUAAUUUGGUUCCAUCUUCUCCUUUCAGUCUUUCACUCUACAAAAUUUCUGAUCAAUUUAUUUAGCACAAUUUAUUAAAGCCAGAUGGUUGAAAUGGAGACGUGCCACGGGAUUUUUAUGUGAUUGUAAGAUUCCUAAUAAGUUGAAAGGA